This 662-nucleotide ribosomal RNA is filed under the name Alteromonas sp. PKO. RNAcentral describes it as "bacterial SSU rRNA". It matches the Rfam family "Bacterial small subunit ribosomal RNA", at positions 195 to 844 of the family's 1533-position model. Lineage: Bacteria; Pseudomonadati; Pseudomonadota; Gammaproteobacteria; Alteromonadales; Alteromonadaceae. The record is from RNAcentral.
UUCGGACCAAACGGGGCUUCGGCUCCGGCGCAAAGAGAGGCCCAAGUGAGAUUAGCUAGUUGGUAAGGUAAAGGCUUACCAAGGCGACGAUCUCUAGCUGUUCUGAGAGGAAGAUCAGCCACACUGGGACUGAGACACGGCCCAGACUCCUACGGGAGGCAGCAGUGGGGAAUAUUGCACAAUGGGGGAAACCCUGAUGCAGCCAUGCCGCGUGUGUGAAGAAGGCCUUCGGGUUGUAAAGCACUUUCAGUUGUGAGGAAAAGUUAGUAGUUAAUACCUGCUAGCCGUGACGUUAACAACAGAAGAAGCACCGGCUAACUCCGUGCCAGCAGCCGCGGUAAUACGGAGGGUGCGAGCGUUAAUCGGAAUUACUGGGCGUAAAGCGCACGCAGGCGGUUUGUUAAGCUAGAUGUGAAAGCCCCGGGCUCAACCUGGGAUGGUCAUUUAGAACUGGCAGACUAGAGUCUUGGAGAGGGGAGUGGAAUUCCAGGUGUAGCGGUGAAAUGCGUAGAUAUCUGGAGGAACAUCAGUGGCGAAGGCGACUCCCUGGCCAAAGACUGACGCUCAUGUGCGAAAGUGUGGGUAGCGAACAGGAUUAGAUACCCUGGUAGUCCACACCGUAAACGCUGUCUACUAGCUGUUUGUGACUUUAAGUCGUGAGU